GUCAUUUCUCACAGGAGCCUGCCUUGUACUUAUCUGUCCACGGGUCUCUCUCCUUUGCUCCGCGGUGAGUCCUCUGAGCAGAAACCAUGUCUUUCAACCCCUAAGAACCUUUUCAUGACACUGUCUCACAGUACUCACCUGAUCCCCUGGAAAGUGAGAGCCGUUUCUUCACUAGAUACUUUCCCUCCAGUGUCCCAGUAUUGGUGGCCACAGUGGGAGCCCCUUACAGCUGGCUCUUGAGUCUUGUUGACACAUCCCAUCAUUCUUUGGCACCAGUGCUAUGAUUGAUGGCUGCACGGAAUGCCCUUACUGGCCCAAACCAAAGGCCCAUCCAGCUUAGUCUGCCUGAGAAGGACCAAAGCUGACGUAGCUUUCCAUGUUUUCUGCCUGAGAGAACCUGUGCAGCUCUCCACUGACACAGUGAAAGCAUCUCCCAGGGGUGAGUUCAAAACAGUUCCCUGACAUGUCUUGGAAAUAGUGCUACUGGGGACAAAAUCAAAACUAAUGUUACCUGGGGCAAUGGGAAGUGCGUUCUGCAUGUAAUUUACACUGGAACUUGAUAUGACUACUGUAAAAACUAUAAAUGAAUAUGAUUCUUAGUUAAAAGAUUUAUGUGCAACUGGAAGAAAAUGGAGUAAUAUGUUCACCACAGUGAAAAGCAAUGGUGGCAACGAGCUUUCUGUAUGGAGGGGCUUAGGGUUGGUAAUCUGGUGGGAAGAGGGAGCUAGAAGAAAGUCUUGACGCUGCAUAUGCAGAAGAAGGACACAUUUGUAUUUGGAGCAUAUGUUUCCUUGGGGCAGCUUUCAGGAAGAGGGCAGUGCUAAAGCCCACCCAAACCACCCCCUGGUGCCACUGCUGUCUGAGUGGUAGAAUUAAAAGUAGUUCUAAUUUUCUC
Molecule: long non-coding RNA, 895 nt
Organism: Pan troglodytes (chimpanzee)
Lineage: Eukaryota; Metazoa; Chordata; Mammalia; Primates; Hominidae
Exons: 6
Source: RefSeq, a predicted model, not a curated record